GCGCCCUUAGUUCAGCGGUAGAACGUUGGUCUCCAAAACCAAAUGUCGUGGGUUCAAUUCCUACAGGGCGCG
This 72-nucleotide transfer RNA is filed under the name Candidatus Melainabacteria bacterium RIFCSPHIGHO2_02_FULL_34_12. Its description in RNAcentral is "tRNA-Trp". It matches the Rfam family "tRNA". From Rfam's summary of the family: Transfer RNA (tRNA) molecules are approximately 80 nucleotides in length. The record is from RNAcentral. Lineage: Bacteria; Bacillati; Candidatus Melainabacteria.